This 1207-nucleotide ribosomal RNA is filed under the name Selaginella bryopteris. RNAcentral's name for it is "bacterial LSU rRNA". The stretch from base 227 to 1207 matches the Rfam family "Bacterial large subunit ribosomal RNA", at positions 1 to 2549 of the family's 2925-position model. The record is from RNAcentral. Lineage: Eukaryota; Viridiplantae; Streptophyta; Lycopodiopsida; Selaginellales; Selaginellaceae.
UAAAACACAGGGAUCUGCUAAGCCGCAAGGCGACGUAUAGGUCCUGACGCCUGUCCGGUGCCGGCAAGGGAAAGGGGGGAGACCCCUAUAACCCCCGGUAAACGACGGCCGUAACUGUGACGGUCCUAAGGUAGCGAAAUUCCUUGUCGUGUAACUUCCGACCUGCACGAAUGGCGUAACGACUUCCCCACUGUCUCCAGGACAUGCUCAGCGAAAUUGAAUUCUCCGUGAAGAUGCGGAGUUCGCGCGGCUAGACGGAAAGACCCUGUGAACCUUAACUAUAACUUCGCAGUGGCGUUAUCGGUGGUUUGUGUAGGAUAGGUGGGAGGCUGUGAAGCCGGGAUUCUGGUCUCGGCGGAGCCACCGUUGAAAUACCACCCUUUUGUUCUUUGAUGUCUAACCGCGCCCCGUGAUCCGGGGCCGGGACCCUGCAUGGCGGGUAGUUUGACUGGGGCGGCCGCCUCCCAAAAUGUAACGGAGGUGUCAAAACGACGCAGUAUACAGACUGACGCCUGCCCAAUGCCGGAAGGUUAAAGGGAUGGGUUAGCCCGUAAGGGCGAAGCUCAGAACUGAAGCCCCGGUGAAUGGCGGCCGUAACUAUGACGGUCCUAAGGUAGCGAAGUUCCUUGUCGGGUAAGUUCCGACCUGCACGAAUGGCGUAACGAUGGCCACACUGUCUCCACCCGACACUCAGUGAAGUUGAAAUCGCUGUGAAGAUGCGGCGUAGCUGCGGAAAGACGGAAAGACCCCGUGCACCUUUACUGUAGCUUUGCGCUGGCAUUCGUGUCGGCAUGUGUAGGAUAGGUGGUAGGCUUUGAAGCGGGGACGCCAGUUCCCGUGGAGCCAUCCUUGAGAUACCGCCCUUCGCACUCUUGAUGUCUAACCGCGGCCCGUUAUCCGGGUCCGGGACCCUGCGUGGUGGGUAGUUUGACUGGGGCGGUCGCCUCCCAAAGAGUAACGGAGGCGCGCGAAGGUUGGCUCAAGCUGGUCGGAAAUCAGCUGUCGAGUGCAAAGGCAUAAGCCAGCCUGACUGCGAGACUGACACGUCGAGCAGAGACGAAAGUCGGCCUUAGUGAUCCGGUGGUCCCGCGUGGAAGGGCCAUCGCUCAACGGAUAAAAGGUACGCCGGGGAUAACAGGCUGAUGACGCCCAAGAGUCCAUAUCGACGGCGUUGUUUGGCACCUCGAUGUCGGCUCAUCGCAUCCUG